This 744-nucleotide ribosomal RNA is filed under the name Levilactobacillus namurensis. RNAcentral's name for it is "bacterial SSU rRNA". It matches the Rfam family "Bacterial small subunit ribosomal RNA", at positions 61 to 780 of the family's 1533-position model. The record is from RNAcentral. Lineage: Bacteria; Bacillati; Bacillota; Bacilli; Lactobacillales; Lactobacillaceae.
GUUCCGUUGAUUGACGUGCUUGCACUGAUUUCAACAUUGGAACGAGUGGCGAACUGGUGAGUAACACGUGGAAAACCUGCCCAGAAGCAGGGGAUAACACUUGGAAACAGGUGCUAAUACCGUAUAACAACAAAAACCGCAUGGUUUUUGUUUGAAAGGUGGCUUCGGCUAUCACUUCUGGAUGGUUCCGCGGCGCAUUAGCUUGUUGGUGGGGUAACGGCUCACCAAGGCGAUGAUGCGUAGCCGACCUGAGAGGGUAAUCGGCCACAUUGGGACUGAGACACGGCCCAGACUCCUACGGGAGGCAGCAGUAGGGAAUCUUCCACAAUGGACGCAAGUCUGAUGGAGCAAUGCCGCGUGAGUGAAGAAGGGUUUCGGCUCGUAAAACUCUGUUGUUGAAGAAGAACGGGUGUCAGAGUAACUGUUGACAUCGUGACGGUAUUCAACCAGAAAGCCACGGCUAACUACGUGCCAGCAGCCGCGGUAAUACGUAGGUGGCAAGCGUUGUCCGGAUUUAUUGGGCGUAAAGCGAGCGCAGGCGGUUUCUUAAGUCUGAUGUGAAAGCCUUCGGCUUAACCGAAGAAGUGCAUCGGAAACUGGGGAACUUGAGUGCAGAAGAGGACAGUGGAACUCCAUGUGUAGCGGUGGAAUGCGUAGAUAUAUGGAAGAACACCAGUGGCGAAAGCGGCUGUCUAGUCUGCAACUGACGCUGAGGCUCGAAAGCAUGGGUAGCGAACAGGAUUA